This 291-nucleotide long non-coding RNA is filed under the name Gossypium barbadense (sea-island cotton). RNAcentral describes it as "long non-coding RNA (GBAR_LNC001586)". The record is from RNAcentral. Lineage: Eukaryota; Viridiplantae; Streptophyta; Magnoliopsida; Malvales; Malvaceae.
GGCGUCCAGACCUACUACGCCCGAGCCGCAUCCCCGGCACACUUGCUAUAUCCACUAAGGCUUCAUCCCACUUCAUCCUACCAACUAUACCUGAUAUAAAGCCGUUCUAUAAAAAUUCAAGACAACAAGAAAGCAAGAAAACGAUAGCGAUUGGUUUGGGAGCGUCACUGGGGGAGGAAAUAAGUAUUUCAAGGACCCGGCUUCGUAGACGAGAAAGAAUAGAAGAAAGGGCAUACCCGACCCGAGCUACUAGGCCAGGGCCUGAGGAGAGGAACUAUUUCAAGCAAGGAU